CGGGUUUAGGCUUGGCUAGUUGAAUGAUUUCAGUGGGCUCUGAAUUUCAUGGCUGUCUCUAUUUGUCUGUUAUUAGGCCCUGGAGUGAUAGGGCAGCAGAAUAUCUACUCUGAACUAAGAGCAUAACAAAGGAGGUGGAAGAGGCGCCAGGAUAGCUCCCAUAUUUGGAGUGUUAUCAUUCAAGUACACACUGGCACCAGGGUCCCUGAGGCUUGCUCAUUGAGGUUGUCAACACUGCAAGAAGGAGUUUUUGUGGCAGAACAGACAUUGAUUGGAGAUGCUGGCAAGGAACAAGAGAUUAGGACGCAGACAACACAGACUUAAGAGGUGAUCAUGUGAGGAUACAGCAAUAAGAUGACCAUCUAUAAGCCAAAGAUAGGCCUCAGAAUGAAAUCAACCCUGUUGACACCUGAAUCUCCAGAACUGUGAGAAAUAAAUUUUCAUGGCCGUGUGCGGUGGCUCCUGCCUGUAAUCCCAGCACUUUGGGAGGCCAAGGCGGGUGGAUUACUU
RNAcentral lists this long non-coding RNA (510 nucleotides) under Homo sapiens (human). RNAcentral describes it as "HSALNT0403392". The record is from RNAcentral. Lineage: Eukaryota; Metazoa; Chordata; Mammalia; Primates; Hominidae.